This is a non-coding RNA of Aedes albopictus (Asian tiger mosquito), 74 nucleotides long. The record is from Rfam. Lineage: Eukaryota; Metazoa; Arthropoda; Insecta; Diptera; Culicidae.
UGUUCUGUGACUUAGUUGGUUAAAGCACCGGUCUAGCUAACACGUAGUUGUGGGUUCAAAUCCCACCAAAACGC